GUAGGGAAUAUUGCGCAAUGGACGAAAGUCUGACGCAGCGACGCCGCGUGAGUGAUGAAGGCCUUAGGGUCGUAAAGCUCUGUUGAAUGGGAAGAAAAAAAUGACGGUACCAUUCGAGGAAGGACCGGCUAACUUCGUGCCAGCAGCCGCGGUAAUACGAGGGGUCCUAGCGUUGUUCGGAAUCAUUGGGCGUAAAGGGUGUGUAGGUGGCCAGGUAAGUCAGGUGUGAAAGCCCCGGGCUCAACCCGGGAAGUGCACUUGAUACUGCGUGGCUUGAGUACCGAAGAGGGUAGUGGAAUUCCAGGUGUAGUGGUGAAAUACGUAGAUAUCUGGAGGAACACCGGUGGCGAAGGCGGCUACCUGGUCGAGUACUGACACUGAGACACGAAAGCAUGGGGAUCAAACAGGAUUAGAAACCCGGGUAGUCC
Molecule: ribosomal RNA, 428 nt
Filed under: uncultured bacterium
Lineage: Bacteria
Description: partial 16S ribosomal RNA
Rfam family: Bacterial small subunit ribosomal RNA
Source: RNAcentral